AAGUCGGCAAAUUGGAUCCGUAACUUCGGAAUAAGGAUUGGCUCUGAGGAGCGGGGCAUGUCGAGAUUGGUCGGGAAGCGAGUCUGGCUGAUGUGCAGGGCCUGGGCGAGAUGAUCGGCCGGCGUUCUCGCGCCGGUCCCGGGAUCCGAGUUCGGUUCCGUGACUUGGCCUCUCGCGGAUCUUCCUUGCUGCGAGGCUUUCGUGGCGGCGCGAGCCGUCAUGGUCGUCCUCUUCGGCCGCCAUUCAGCGCUCAGCUCAGAACUGGCACGGAUUAGGGGAAUCCGACUGUCUAAUUAAAACAAAGCAUUGCGAUGGCCCUCGCGGAUGUUGACGCAAUGUGAUUUCUGCCCAGUGCUCUGAAUGUCAACGUGAAGAAAUUCAAGCAAGCGUGGAACGGCGGGAGUAACUAUGACUCUCUUAAGGGAAAGCAUAGUUAAGACGUGAUGCGCAAUU
Molecule: non-coding RNA, 453 nt
Filed under: Lasius niger
Lineage: Eukaryota; Metazoa; Arthropoda; Insecta; Hymenoptera; Formicidae
Description: Eukaryotic large subunit ribosomal RNA
Rfam family: Eukaryotic large subunit ribosomal RNA
Source: Rfam by way of RNAcentral